AGUGAACGCUGGCGGUAGGCCUAACACAUGCAAGUCGAGCGGAAAGGCCCCUUUGGGGGUACUCGAGCGGCGAACGGGUGAGUAACACGUGAGUAAUCUGCCCUUGGCUUUGGGAUAACUACCGGAAACGGUGGCUAAUACCGGAUACGACACAGGUAUGCAUGUACUCUGUGUGGAAAGUUUUUUCGGCUAGGGAUGUGCUCGCGGCCUAUCAGCUUGUUGGUGGGGUAAUGGCCUACCAAGGCUUCGACGGGUAGCCGGCCUGAGAGGGUGACCGGCCACACUGGGACUGAGACACGGCCCAGACUCCUACGGGAGGCAGCAGUGGGGAAUAUUGGACAAUGGGCGGAAGCCUGAUCCAGCAACGCCGCGUGAGGGAUGACGGCCUUCGGGUUGUAAACCUCUUUCAUCUUCGACGAAGCGCCGAUGAUGGUGGUGACGGUAGGAGAAGAAGAAGCACCGGCCAACUACGUGCCAGCAGCCGCGGUAA
RNAcentral lists this ribosomal RNA (490 nucleotides) under uncultured bacterium. RNAcentral describes it as "partial 16S ribosomal RNA". It matches the Rfam family "Bacterial small subunit ribosomal RNA", at positions 29 to 523 of the family's 1533-position model. The record is from RNAcentral.